RNAcentral lists this ribosomal RNA (1214 nucleotides) under Salmonella enterica. RNAcentral describes it as "partial 23S ribosomal RNA". It matches the Rfam family "Bacterial large subunit ribosomal RNA", at positions 1746 to 2925 of the family's 2925-position model. Lineage: Bacteria; Pseudomonadati; Pseudomonadota; Gammaproteobacteria; Enterobacterales; Enterobacteriaceae. The record is from RNAcentral. RNAcentral also lists the same sequence under 3 other names.
GCACGCUGACACGUAGGUGAAGUGAUUUACUCACGGAGCUGAAGUCAGCCGAAGAUACCAGCUGGCUGCAACUGUUUAUUAAAAACACAGCACUGUGCAAACACGAAAGUGGACGUAUACGGUGUGACGCCUGCCCGGUGCCGGAAGGUUAAUUGAUGGGGUCAGCGCAAGCGAAGCUCCUGAUCGAAGCCCCGGUAAACGGCGGCCGUAACUAUAACGGUCCUAAGGUAGCGAAAUUCCUUGUCGGGUAAGUUCCGACCUGCACGAAUGGCGUAAUGAUGGCCAGGCUGUCUCCACCCGAGACUCAGUGAAAUUGAACUCGCUGUGAAGAUGCAGUGUACCCGCGGCAAGACGGAAAGACCCCGUGAACCUUUACUAUAGCUUGACACUGAACAUUGAGCCUUGAUGUGUAGGAUAGGUGGGAGGCUUUGAAGUGUGGACGCCAGUCUGCAUGGAGCCGACCUUGAAAUACCACCCUUUAAUGUUUGAUGUUCUAACGUGGACCCGUGAUCCGGGUUGCGGACAGUGUCUGGUGGGUAGUUUGACUGGGGCGGUCUCCUCCUAAAGAGUAACGGAGGAGCACGAAGGUUGGCUAAUCCUGGUCGGACAUCAGGAGGUUAGUGCAAUGGCAUAAGCCAGCUUGACUGCGAGCGUGACGGCGCGAGCAGGUGCGAAAGCAGGUCAUAGUGAUCCGGUGGUUCUGAAUGGAAGGGCCAUCGCUCAACGGAUAAAAGGUACUCCGGGGAUAACAGGCUGAUACCGCCCAAGAGUUCAUAUCGACGGCGGUGUUUGGCACCUCGAUGUCGGCUCAUCACAUCCUGGGGCUGAAGUAGGUCCCAAGGGUAUGGCUGUUCGCCAUUUAAAGUGGUACGCGAGCUGGGUUUAGAACGUCGUGAGACAGUUCGGUCCCUAUCUGCCGUGGGCGCUGGAGAACUGAGGGGGGCUGCUCCUAGUACGAGAGGACCGGAGUGGACGCAUCACUGGUGUUCGGGUUGUCAUGCCAAUGGCACUGCCCGGUAGCUAAAUGCGGAAGAGAUAAGUGCUGAAAGCAUCUAAGCACGAAACUUGCCCCGAGAUGAGUUCUCCCUGAGACUUUAGGUCUCCUGAAGGAACGUUGAAGACGACGACGUUGAUAGGCCGGGUGUGUAAGCGCAGCGAUGCGUUGAGCUAACCGGUACUAAUGAACCGUGAGGCUUAACCUUACAACGCCGAAG